AUUGAACGCUGGCGGCAGGCCUAACACAUGCAAGUCGAGCGGAUGAAGGGAGCUUGCUCCUGGAUUCAGCGGCGGACGGGUGAGUAAUGCCUAGGAAUCUGCCUGGUAGUGGGGGAUAACGUCCGGAAACGGGCGCUAAUAUCGCAUACGUCCUGAUGGUGAAAGUGGGGGAUCUUUGGACCUCACGCUAUCAGAUGAGCCUAGGUCGGAUUAGCUAGUUGGUGGGGUAAAGGCCUACCAAGGCGACGUUCCGUAACUGGUCUGAGAGGAUGAUCAGUCACCCUGGACCUGAGACACGGCCCGAACUCCUAGGGGAGGCAGCGGUGGGGAAUAUUGGACAAUGGGCGAAAGCCUGAUCCAGCCAUGCCGCGUGUGUGAAGAAGGUCUUCGGAUUGUAAAGCACUUUAUGUUGGGAGAAAGGGCAGUAAGUUAAUACCUUGCUGUUUGGACGUUACCAACAGAAUAAGCACCGGCUAACUUCGU
RNAcentral lists this ribosomal RNA (483 nucleotides) under uncultured bacterium. RNAcentral describes it as "partial 16S ribosomal RNA". It matches the Rfam family "Bacterial small subunit ribosomal RNA", at positions 30 to 506 of the family's 1533-position model. The record is from RNAcentral.